CCUACGGGCGGCAGCAGUGAGGAAUAUUGCACAAUGGGGGAAACCCUGAUGCAGCGAUGCCGCGUGGAGGAAGAAGGUUUUCGGAUUGUAAACUCCUUUUAUCAGGGACGAUAAUGACGGUACCUGAAGAAAAAGCUCCGGCUAACUACGUGCCAGCAGCCGCGGUAAUACGGAAGGUCCGGGCGUUAUCCGGAUUUAUUGGGUUUAAAGGGAGCGUAGGCCGCAUGUCAAGCGUGCUGUGAAAUGUCCGGGCUCAACCCGGGCCUUGCAGCGCGAACUGGCGUGCUUGAGUCCGCGGAAAGCAGGCGGAAUUCGUCGUGUAGCGGUGAAAUGCUUAGAUAUGACGAAGAACCCCGAUUGCGAAGGCAGCUUGCUGCAGCGGAACUGACGCUGAUGCUCGAAAGCGCGGGUAUCGAACAGGAUUAGAUACCCUUGUAGUC
This 440-nucleotide ribosomal RNA is filed under the name uncultured bacterium. Its description in RNAcentral is "partial 16S ribosomal RNA". It matches the Rfam family "Bacterial small subunit ribosomal RNA", at positions 338 to 795 of the family's 1533-position model. The record is from RNAcentral.